GAACGUGCCCUUCUCUAAGGAAUAGCCACUGGAAACGGUGAGUAAUACCUUAUACGCCCUUCGGGGGAAAGAUUUAUCGGAGAAGGAUCGGCCCGCGUUAGAUUAGAUAGUUGGUGGGGUAACGGCCUACCAAGUCUACGAUCUAUAGCUGGUUUUAGAGGAUGAUCAGCAACACUGGGACUGAGACACGGCCCAGACUCCUACGGGAGGCAGCAGUGGGGAAUCUUGGACAAUGGGGGCAACCCUGAUCCAGCCAUGCCGCGUGAGUGAUGAAGGCCUUAGGGUCGUAAAGCUCUUUCGCCUGUGAUGAUAAUGACAGUAGCAGGUAAAGAAACCCCGGCUAACUCCGUGCCAGCAGCCGCGGUAAUACGGAGGGGGUUAGCGUUGUUCGGAAUUACUGGGCGUAAAGCGCGCGUAGGCGGACCAGAAAGUUGGGGGUGAAAUCCCGGGGCUCAACCCCGGAACUGCCUCCAAAACUCCUGGUCUUGAGUUCGAGAGAGGUGAGUGGAAUUCCGAGUGUAGAGGUGAAAUUCGUAGAUAUUCGGAGGAA
This 550-nucleotide ribosomal RNA is filed under the name uncultured bacterium. RNAcentral describes it as "bacterial SSU rRNA". It matches the Rfam family "Bacterial small subunit ribosomal RNA", at positions 122 to 706 of the family's 1533-position model. The record is from RNAcentral.